This 679-nucleotide ribosomal RNA is filed under the name Bremia lactucae (lettuce downy mildew). Its description in RNAcentral is "LSU rRNA". It matches the Rfam family "Eukaryotic large subunit ribosomal RNA", at positions 87 to 610 of the family's 3401-position model. The record is from RNAcentral. Lineage: Eukaryota; Oomycota; Peronosporomycetes; Peronosporales; Peronosporaceae.
CGGCGAGUGAAGCGGGAUGAGCUCAAGCUUAAAAUCUCCGUGCAAAUUUUGCAUGGCGAAUUGUAGUCUAUAGAGGCGUGAUUAGCGUAGGCACUUGGGGCAAGUUCCUUGGAAGAGGACAGCAUCGAGGGUGAUACUCCCGUUUAUCUCCGAGUUGCUUAUGCGUACAAUCCGUUUUCUUUGAGUCGCGUUGUUUGAGAAUGCAGCGCAAAGUAGGUGGUAAAUUCCAUCUAAAGCUAAAUAUUGGUGCGAGACCGAUAGCAAACAAGUACCGUGAGGGAAAGAUGAAAAGAACUUUGAAAAGAGAGUUAAAGAGUACCUGAAACUGCUGAAAGGGAACCAAAUCGUUUCUAGUGUCUAUAAUCCGUGGUAUAUUUCAUUGGCGAAUGUGUGCGUGCAUGUACUAUGGCAGYGGCUUUUUGCUGCGCCUUGUGCGUGUGUGUGCACUUUCUCGCUGAUGCCCUGUACCGUGGUGGGACGUCAAUGUCGGUUCGUAAAUUGCGGGAAAUGACUGCCGAGGAGGUAGGGCGAACGCUUGCGUUUGUCUGUUAUAUCUUGGCGGACGUAGUAGUCGCGGUUGGGACUGAGGUGCCUACAAUGUGCUUAUGAGUAGAAUUGAUUCUUCGUGUGCGCCGUGUGCGGAUAGCUUGCUAUGCGUGUGUGGCUGUGUGUGGAUUGA